CCUACGGGAGGCUGCAGUCGAGAAUCUUCGGCAAUGGGCGAAAGCCUGACCGAGCGAUGCCGCGUGCGGGAUGAAGGCCCUCGGGUUGUAAACCGCUGUCAGUUGGGAGGAAGGCUCCGUGAAGAACGGAGCUUGACCUAUCUUCAGAGGAAGUCCGGGCUAAGUUCGUGCCAGCAGCCGCGGUAAUACGAACCGGACAAACGUUAUUCGGAAUUACUGGGCUUAAAGGGUGCGUAGGCGGCGCGGUAAGUGAGGUGUGAAAGCCCACGGCUCAACCGUGGAACUGCGCUUCAUACUGCCGUGCUUGAGGGAGACAGAGGUAAGCGGAACUGAUGGUGGAGCGGUGAAAUGCGUUGAUAUCAUCAGGAACACCGGUGGCGAAAGCGGCUUACUGGGUCUCUUCUGACGCUGAGGCACGAAAGCUAGGGUAGCGAACGGGA
This 440-nucleotide ribosomal RNA is filed under the name uncultured bacterium. RNAcentral describes it as "bacterial SSU rRNA". It matches the Rfam family "Bacterial small subunit ribosomal RNA", at positions 338 to 777 of the family's 1533-position model. The record is from RNAcentral.